AAGGGUUGGGCUGUUCGCCCAUUAAAGCGGUACGCGAGCUGGGUUUAGAACGUCGUGAGACAGUUCGGUCCCUAUCCGCUGCGCGCGUAGGAAACUUGAGAAGGCCUGUCCCUAGUACGAGAGGACCGGGACGGACAAGCCUCUGGUGUGCCAGUUGUACCGCCAGGUGCAUGGCUGGUUAGCUACGCUUGGGAAGGAUAACCGCUGAAAGCAUCUAAGCGGGAAGCCUGCUUCAAGACAAGGUUUCCAACCCCACCUAGUGGGGGAGAGACUCCCAAUAGAUGAUUGGGUUGAUAGGCCAGGCGUGUAAGCAUGGUAACGUGUUUAGCUUACUGGUACUAAUAGUCAACAACUAAAAACAA
This 362-nucleotide non-coding RNA is filed under the name Actinomyces sp. S6-Spd3. RNAcentral's name for it is "Bacterial large subunit ribosomal RNA". It matches the Rfam family "Bacterial large subunit ribosomal RNA", at positions 2567 to 2925 of the family's 2925-position model. Lineage: Bacteria; Bacillati; Actinomycetota; Actinomycetes; Actinomycetales; Actinomycetaceae. The record is from Rfam by way of RNAcentral.